RNAcentral lists this microRNA precursor (71 nucleotides) under Myotis lucifugus (little brown bat). Its description in RNAcentral is "mir-9193 microRNA precursor family". It matches the Rfam family "mir-9193 microRNA precursor family". The record is from Rfam by way of RNAcentral. Lineage: Eukaryota; Metazoa; Chordata; Mammalia; Chiroptera; Vespertilionidae.
CAGGAGGGGAAGGGUCCCUCAACCCAGAUUGCAAGAGGGUGCAGGCCAGGCCGAGGGACCCACCCCACCGG